Molecule: ribosomal RNA, 274 nt
Filed under: uncultured bacterium
Lineage: Bacteria
Description: partial 16S ribosomal RNA
Rfam family: Bacterial small subunit ribosomal RNA
Source: RNAcentral
AUACAGAGGGUGCGAGCGUUAAUCGGAAUUACUGGGCGUAAAGCGCGCGUAGGCGGCUUAUUAAGUCAGAUGUGAAAUCCCCGGGCUCAACCUGGGAACUGCAUCUGAUACUGGUAAGCUAGAGUUUUGGAGAGGGAAGUAGAAUUUCAGGUGUAGCGGUGAAAUGCAUAGAGAUCUGAAGGAAUACCAGUGGCGAAGGCGACUUCCUGGCCAAAAGCUGACGCUGAAGUGCGAAAGCGUGGGUAGCAAACGGGAUUAGAAACCCUAGUAGUCC